Molecule: long non-coding RNA, 427 nt
Organism: Pistacia vera
Lineage: Eukaryota; Viridiplantae; Streptophyta; Magnoliopsida; Sapindales; Anacardiaceae
Exons: 3
Source: RefSeq, a predicted model, not a curated record
CCUCCUCCUUUCAUUGUUGUUCAUAUAUUUAAUUUGCAAUAAAUUUUUUUUUUUGACUCUCAUAUGCACUUCUCAUAGUGCCUCCUCCAUUGCCACCACCUCAGUCAGGAAGGAGUUUCAUUGAUCAAAUUUCACUUUUUCCGAGGGAAGCAAAAGCAAGGGGGUGCCCCUCAUUUCUGUGGUUCCUUGCCUCCUUGUCCAUCCAGGUCCCAUGUUUUCUCUUAGGUGUGACCAGAAUUCGGAAAAUUUCACUGGAGGGUCAUCCAGGGUUUGAUCGUGGUGGGACUUUGUGGUUCCAGAACUUGACUGAAUUCCCUCAUGGUCUUUUAGGCCCCAUCUUUCCAAUAGUGAUAGAAUUGUGAAUUAAUAUUCAUUGGUCAUCUUAUUACUUGUUUGAUAUAUUUUCCAGAUUUCUUUUAGUAAAUCU